GAACUAGACAAGUUCCGAUGGAAUUUGCAUCAGAAUGGUACCUUUUCAGUCAAAUCCUUGUAUGAUGCAAUGACCCACACCGAUGUACCGGUUGAUAACAAGAAAUUGUGGAAGCUCAAAAUUCCCCUAAGAGUGAAGAUAUUCCUCUGGUUUCUAAACAGAGGGGUCAUCUUAACUAGAGAUAACUUGGCACGACGCAACUGGCAAGGUAGCAAGACAUGUGUCUUUUGCCAACAUGACGAGUCCAUCAAACACUUAUUUUUUGAGUGUUAUCCAUGCGUGUACGCGAUGGCUUCGUACGUGGUCUAUCCUGCAGAGGCCGGAGGACAGAGACCUUUUUAUGAUGGCGUCUACACGGCUGGAGCAUACAACUAG
This 375-nucleotide ribosomal RNA is filed under the name Triticum aestivum (bread wheat). Its description in RNAcentral is "partial small subunit ribosomal RNA". The record is from RNAcentral. Lineage: Eukaryota; Viridiplantae; Streptophyta; Magnoliopsida; Poales; Poaceae.